GCAUAUAAGUAAGCGGAGGAAAAGGAACUAAACAGGAUUCCCUUAGUAAUGGCGAACGAACAGGGAUCAGCUUGGAUUGGAAACCGGGGCUUCUGCCUUGGAUUGUGGCCUUUAGACGUACUACCAACGGCGGCGCGAGCGUAAGCCUCUUGGAACAGAGCGUCUACGUGGGUGAGAAUCCUGUGUUUCGCUUGAUGCCCGCCGUGCACGGUACUUGCUCUCAGAGUCACGCUCCUCGGAAUUGGAGCGUAAAUUGGGUGGUAAAUUUCAUCUAAAGCUAAAUACAGGCUCGAGACCGAUAGCAAACAAGUACCAUGAGGGAAAGAUGAAAAGGACUUUGAAAAGAGAGUUAAAAGUGCUUGAAAUCGCUGAACUGGAAGCGAAUGGAACUAGUGCUCUGGUUGAGAUUGCUGCAAGUGGCUGCGACAUCUGAGCUCUGGAACGCAAGUCCUUUGUCUGGUUUGAAGUAGUUGCUUGUAAUGUGUCUCAGCUUGAACAUCAGCGUCUAUGCAUACGUGAGGAUGGCCCUUAGCUCAUGCUGUGUUGCUGUGGCGAUACUCUUGUGCUUUUGGGGAUUCAGGUGUGUGUGGAUUGUUGAUCAAUUAGUUCCAUUCGACCCGUCUUGAAACACGGACCAAGGAG
RNAcentral lists this ribosomal RNA (642 nucleotides) under Symbiodinium sp. RNAcentral's name for it is "LSU rRNA". It matches the Rfam family "Eukaryotic large subunit ribosomal RNA", at positions 38 to 673 of the family's 3401-position model. The record is from RNAcentral. Lineage: Eukaryota; Dinophyceae; Suessiales; Symbiodiniaceae.